RNAcentral lists this ribosomal RNA (253 nucleotides) under uncultured bacterium. RNAcentral describes it as "partial 16S ribosomal RNA". It matches the Rfam family "Bacterial small subunit ribosomal RNA", at positions 524 to 776 of the family's 1533-position model. The record is from RNAcentral.
UACGUAGGGUGCGAGCGUUGUUCGGAAUGAUUGGGCGUAAAGCGCACGUAGGCGGGUCUGCAAGUCAGCUGUGAAAUCCCUGGGCUUAACCUGGGAAUUGCGGUUGAUACUACAGAUCUUGAAUACCUAAGAGGGUAGCGGAAUUCCGGGUGUAGUAGUGAAAUACGUAGAUAUCCGGAGGAACACCAGAGGCGAAGGCGGCUACCUGGUGGUGUAUUGACGCUGAGGUGCGAAAGCGUGGGGAGCAAACAGG